RNAcentral lists this transfer RNA (30 nucleotides) under Acilepis namnaoensis. Its description in RNAcentral is "partial tRNA-Phe". The record is from RNAcentral. Lineage: Eukaryota; Viridiplantae; Streptophyta; Magnoliopsida; Asterales; Asteraceae.
AGCUCAUUUGGAAAAAGCAGAGACUGAAAU